GGGAGUGCUUGUGACAGCACCACAGGACACUGCGAGCAGAGUCGGCAAUCCCGACAGACGACGCUCGGAGACUUCAGUUCUGAAACCUCCGACGACGAGGCUUCCCUUGUAGGAAGCCCCGCCCUUUAGGGCGGGCGAGGAUGUCACAUAGCGAAAUAUU
This 160-nucleotide unclassified non-coding RNA is filed under the name Haloferax larsenii. RNAcentral describes it as "HgcC family RNA". Lineage: Archaea; Methanobacteriati; Methanobacteriota; Halobacteria; Halobacteriales; Haloferacaceae. The record is from RNAcentral.